AAUAAGAAGCAAUAUAUGCAUUUAAUUUCGACUUAAAAAAAAGAGUAAAUUAACUACUCCUUAUUU
Molecule: transfer RNA, 66 nt
Filed under: Scythropia crataegella
Lineage: Eukaryota; Metazoa; Arthropoda; Insecta; Lepidoptera; Scythropiidae
Description: tRNA-Arg
Source: RNAcentral